Molecule: long non-coding RNA, 207 nt
Organism: Schistocerca gregaria
Lineage: Eukaryota; Metazoa; Arthropoda; Insecta; Orthoptera; Acrididae
Exons: 2
Source: RefSeq, a predicted model, not a curated record
AUCAAAACAAUAAGUGAAAUUGAAAAGUUUUAUGUGAAGAAGAACGAACACAAGACCAAAAACUGCAAGAUUAGCGUGACAACAAUAUGGAUAAUCCAUCUGUAUUGAACUCCAUCAUUGAACGUCACAUGUUUCUGAAUGUAAGCACCUGAAGAUGGGCAAAAGCCUGAAACCGGUCGUGCUGUAAAUAAAUACCUUCAAUUGUGA